AGGAGUAUAAACAAAACGGGUGAAUAGUGUCACCUCCACAACGGUUUGCACAAAGUCCCACAUUGAAACUUUGUGCAAAACUCCCAUUUUCACUUUCCUAUAACUAGGGAAUAGUACCCAAGUAAAAAGGGUAACUAUUUUCUCACAUUUACUGUUGCUCUGUCAAAAUUACCACAUAUAGCUGACUUAAGCAUCGGAGAGCCUUCGGCAGGCACCACACCAGUGUCCGAA
RNAcentral lists this long non-coding RNA (231 nucleotides) under Prunus persica (peach). RNAcentral describes it as "long non-coding RNA (PPER_LNC006262)". Lineage: Eukaryota; Viridiplantae; Streptophyta; Magnoliopsida; Rosales; Rosaceae. The record is from RNAcentral.